Molecule: ribosomal RNA, 499 nt
Filed under: uncultured bacterium
Lineage: Bacteria
Description: bacterial SSU rRNA
Rfam family: Bacterial small subunit ribosomal RNA
Source: RNAcentral
GAUGAACGCUAGCGGCAGGCUUAACACAUGCAAGUCGAGGGGCAGCGCGAUGUAGCAAUACAUUGGCGGCGACCGGCGCACGGGUGCGUAACACGUAUGGAACUUACCCUUUACUGGGAGAUAGCCCGGAGAAAUCCGGAUUAAUAUCCCAUAAUAAACGAAGUGGCAUCACUUUGUUUUGAAAGCUCCGGCGGUAAAGGAUGGCCAUGCGCACGAUUAGCUAGUAGGUGAGGUAACGGCUCACCUAGGCUACGAUCGUUAGGGGGCCUGAGAGGGUUAUCCCCCACACUGGUACUGAGACACGGACCAGACACCUACGGGUGGCAGCAGUUUCGAAUCAUUCACAAUGGGCGAAAGCCUGAUGGUGCGACGCCGCGUGAGGGAUGAAGGUCUUCGGAUUGUAAACCUCUGUCACCAGGGAAGAAAAACUAGCCGUUAAUAGCGUCUAGUCUGACUUAACCUGGAGAGGAAGCAGUGGCUAACUCUGUGCCAGCAGCCG